Lagopus muta (rock ptarmigan) is the source of this 2193-nucleotide long non-coding RNA. RefSeq lists it as uncharacterized. The transcript is spliced from 3 exons. Lineage: Eukaryota; Metazoa; Chordata; Aves; Galliformes; Phasianidae. The record is from RefSeq and is a predicted model, not a curated record.
AGUGGGCUUCAACUCAAUCCCUAGACGGGUUGCCAAAGGUUCAUCCUGUUUUUCAUUGGCAACUUCUACACGUACAUCCAAAAGAAUUCAAAUUACUGUCAGUUGUGAUUUGUGCUCCUGUCAAGCUGAAACUAGAACAUGGCAUCACUUUUCCUCAGUGUGCCACCAUAAAAUAAAGUCAGUUGAUAUUGAUACAGGUCAUCCCUGACAAAUAUAAGAAUGAUUUUGCAAUUUUGCAUUUCAAUGCCUUUCCAUAUAGUCCAUGUUCAUAGGCACAUCAGAGAGUUAUGUCCUAAAUUAGCAAAUCUAAUUUCCUACUAUCUUGGACCCAUCACUCUGCAUUGUCCAUUUCAAAGGCACUCUACUUUUGUUUAAAAGAACUCCUUGCUCUUUCCCAGCUGUCAGAGUGCAGUCACUUGAUUCUGCUCCUAAAUAGAUAAAAAUAAAAAAGCCAUGUCUCUGUUGCAGAAUGCCACACAGAAAGAAGACAGGAAACAUGUUUAUAAAAAUAGGUCUGCUACCCAGUUCAUGUCCAUCAGACAGUGCCACCCUCAUGAGGUAAUGUUGUCAUAACUCUGAUGGGAGCCAAGAGUUUACAUAAAAGUUAAAAAGAGAAAGGAGACAUGAAACCAGACUUCUCUGUCAAGUUGCGUUUUCAGGCUGCAUUUGCAGGCAAGAGCACAGGAUGCAACACAGCCACCACCAAGCACAGUGAGGUCUGAGGUUCCAGUGAUGUCAAUGCUGAUUUUUAGAAUUCUGCUCUCUGUUUUGUGAAGCUAUACCAGCAGCGUUUUCCUUAAUCUGCUCUGGAUUUGGCAGAGGUGAUCCCUGAAGUCAAUUUGAAGGUCAAUCCCAUGCAGUUUAAGCAGGAACUCUGUAAACCCUGACAGCAUGCUUAAAGCAAACACUUCAUAGAUUGAAGUCCAAGUACUGAUGGAAAGAUUUGUGGCUGGAAGACUGUAGUUAAGAGAUCAGUAGUGCUACACAAAGGAUGCUGGACUCUGCAGAGAAAUGUGAGCUGCUAGACACCAAAAGCCUGCAAAGUAAGGUGUGAAACAUUUUGCCCAUUCUCAAAAUCUGCUGAAUCCUUGUUCCUCUCGGAGAACAGGUGAGGACUCAGGUUCUCUGCAGAAACACAGGAACAACUCUUCAGGAUCAGGGGUCCUUCAGGUGGUAGCUGUCAAGCAGAUUUAGGAAUUAAAUGUCUAUUUCUAAGUGAGGAGUAAGACUCUUCUCCUACUUGUGGAAAUUCUUUUGUCUUUAUUCAAACAUGCAAGACCUAACAGAAAAUUGAUAUAAUAAAUUUUAAACCACCCCCAUUUAUCUGUGUUAUUUCAAAAUCCUGAACUUGUCAUGUUGGUGCAAUUAGUCUCAACUAAGACAGUUGACUAUAACAGUCAAGAAUGUAAGUUAACCUCAACUAAAAUUCCAUCUUUAUCUUCAUGUUACACACAACUGUACAAUACCAGUGUUCAGAUGUAAAUGUCUAAAAUGUUGUUAAUGAAAGGCAAGAUUUCAGUGAAUAACUUUCCAGGAAGAAUUGAAAUUUUGUGCUAUUUGAGAAAUAUAAUUUUAAAUAAGGAAAUGAGCAAUCUCACAGCAAAGCAGGAAACUUAAUUAAAAAACUAGUGGUCAUUCAUGCAAUGCUUAUCUUGAUAACCAUAACCAGACAAAUGAGAGAGACAUCAUGUUUUCAGUUCCCAUACAGCCUUCUUGGGCAUUAAAAGGUGGCUACCUCUUCAGCUGGCAGGAGAUAGAAAAUUCUCUAAGACUGUCAUCAAGCACUUAAUAUGCUCUUCAAAACUUUUAUUUACAUGAAGGAUGAUAUACCUUAACAUUUUUCUCAUACUGUGAGGAAUUUCACACAAACAGCUCUAACAUGGAAUCUUUUUAAGGUUCUCUGCAAUCAAUGGAACCAUGGAUGGAAUUGUGAUGAUAAAUCUUCUGCAUGGCUUUUGUCUAAGGUUCCUCAUUUCGAAACUGUUGUACGAUUAUAGUGAGAAGCUGGUUAAUGGAAGUGUUCAUUGGAAUAAAUAUAAAUAUCCUUGGGAAAAUGCAUAGAACCAGAAAGUUUGGGUUUAAUUUGCUUGUUUGCUAUUUAAAAAUGAACUGAAUAGUGAAAAUUGCAAUAAUGUUUGUAUCAGUAAUUUCUAAAAUUCUCUUUGAGAAAUGAUUUUUUUUUUUUUUUUUAAU